AGAGUUUGAUCAUGGCUCAGAACGAACGCUGGCGGCAUGCCUAACACAUGCAAGUCGAACGAGACCUUCGGGUCUAGUGGCGCACGGGUGCGUAACGCGUGGGAAUCUGCCCUUGGGUUCGGAAUAACAGCGAGAAAUUGCUGCUAAUACCGGAUGAUGACGUAAGUCCAAAGAUUUAUCGCCCAAGGAUGAGCCCGCGUAGGAUUAGCUAGUUGGUGAGGUAAAGGCUCACCAAGGCGACGAUCCUUAGCUGGUCUGAGAGGAUGAUCAGCCACACUGGGACUGAGACACGGCCCAGACUCCUACGGGAGGCAGCAGUGGGAAUAUUGGACAAUGGGCGAAAGCCUGAUCCAGCAAUGCCGCGUGAGUGAUGAAGGCCUUAGGGUUGUAAAGCUCUUUUACCCGGGAUGAUAAUGACAGUACCGGGAGAAUAAGCUCCGGCUAACUCCGUG
This 452-nucleotide ribosomal RNA is filed under the name uncultured bacterium. RNAcentral's name for it is "bacterial SSU rRNA". It matches the Rfam family "Bacterial small subunit ribosomal RNA", at positions 8 to 507 of the family's 1533-position model. The record is from RNAcentral.